AAUUUUGAAGGGCCGCAGUAUUUUGACUGUGCAAAGGUAGCAUAAUCAUUAGUCUUUUAAUUGAAGGCUGGUAUGAAUGGUUGGAUGAGGUAAAUUCUGUUUUAUAUUAAUUAAAAUUGAAUUUAGAUUUUAAGUAAAAAAACUUAAGUUUUAUUAAGGGACGAGAAGACCCUAUAGAGUUUAAUAAGUGUAAUAUUUAAUUGAGUUAAUAAGAAAUUUUUAAUUAAUAUAAAAUUUAUUUAAUUGGGGUGAUUGGAAGAUAAAGUAAACUCUUCUUUAAAUUUAAUAAUUUAAUUAAUUAUUUGAUCCAUUAUUAAUGAUUAAAAGAUUAAAUUACCUUAGGGAUAACAGCAUAAUUUUUUUUGAGAGUUCUUAUCGAAAAGAAAGAUUGUGACCUCGAUGUUGGAUUAGGAUUAAUAUUA
RNAcentral lists this ribosomal RNA (422 nucleotides) under Psychomantis borneensis. Its description in RNAcentral is "partial 16S ribosomal RNA". Lineage: Eukaryota; Metazoa; Arthropoda; Insecta; Mantodea; Hymenopodidae. The record is from RNAcentral.